CAGCAGCCGCGGUAAUACGUAGGGUGCGAGCGUUAAUCGGAUUUACUGGGCGUAAAGCGUGCGCAGGCGGCCCGUUAAGACAGGUGUGAAAUCCCUGGGCUCAACCUAGGAAUUGCGCUUGUGACUGGCGGGCUCGAGUACGGUAGAGGGGGGUGGAAUUCCUGGUGUAGCAGUGAAAUGCGUAGAGAUCAGGAGGAACACCGAUGGCGAAGGCAGCCCCCUGGGCCUGUACUGACGCUCAUGCACGAAAGCGUGGGGAGCAAACAGGAUUAGAUACCCUGGUAGUCCACGCCCUAAACGAUGGGUACUAGCCGUUUGGUGCGCGAUAGCGCUGAGUGGCGAAGCUAACGCGUGAAGUACCCCGCCUGGGGAGUACGGCCGCAAGGUUGAAACUUAAAGGAAUUGGCAGG
This 410-nucleotide ribosomal RNA is filed under the name uncultured microorganism. RNAcentral's name for it is "bacterial SSU rRNA". It matches the Rfam family "Bacterial small subunit ribosomal RNA", at positions 509 to 917 of the family's 1533-position model. The record is from RNAcentral.